This 429-nucleotide ribosomal RNA is filed under the name Acidobacteriota bacterium. RNAcentral's name for it is "Acidobacteria bacterium partial 16S ribosomal RNA". It matches the Rfam family "Bacterial small subunit ribosomal RNA", at positions 355 to 776 of the family's 1533-position model. Lineage: Bacteria; Pseudomonadati; Acidobacteriota. The record is from RNAcentral.
UGGGGAAUUUUGGACAAUGGGGGAAACCCUGAUCCAGCCAUCCCGCGUGUGCGAUGAAGGCCUUCGUGUUGUAAAGCACUUUUGGCAGGAAAGAAACGUCAUGGGUUAAUACCCCGUGAAACUGACGGUACCUGCAGAAUAAGCACCGGCUAACUACGUGCCAGCAGCCGCGGUAAUACGUAGGGUGCAAGCGUUAAUCGGAAUUACUGGGCGUAAUGCGUGCGCAGGCGGUUCGGAAAGAAAGAUGUGAAAUCCCAGAGCUCAACUUUGGAACAGCAGUUUUGACUACCGGGCUAGGGUGUGUCAGAGGGAGGAGGAAUUCCGCGUGUAGCAGUGAAAUGCGUAGAUAUGCGGAGGAACACCGAUGGCGAAGGCAGCCGCCUGGGAUAACACUGACGCUCAUGCACGAAAGCGUGGGGAGCAAACAGG